This 292-nucleotide ribosomal RNA is filed under the name uncultured bacterium. RNAcentral describes it as "partial 16S ribosomal RNA". It matches the Rfam family "Bacterial small subunit ribosomal RNA", at positions 505 to 796 of the family's 1533-position model. The record is from RNAcentral.
GUGUCAGCAGCCGCGGUAAGACGGAGGGUGCUAGCGUUGUUCGGAAUUACUGGGCGUAAAGGGCGCGUAGGCGGCCAGGUAAGUCGGGUGUGAAAGCCCGGGGCUCAACCCCGGAACGGCACCCGAGACUGCGUGGCUCGAGACCGGAAGAGGUGAGUGGAAUACCCAGUGUAGAGGUGAAAUUCGUAGAUAUUGGGUGGAACACCGGUGGCGAAAGCGGCUCACUGGCCCGGUUCUGACGCUGAGGCGCGAAAGCGUGGGGAGCAAACAGGAUUAGAUACCCCGGUAGUCC